Patella vulgata (common limpet) is the source of this 306-nucleotide long non-coding RNA. RefSeq lists it as uncharacterized. NCBI's taxonomy places the organism in Eukaryota, Metazoa, Mollusca, Gastropoda, Patellidae. The record is from RefSeq and is a predicted model, not a curated record. The transcript has 3 exons.
UAUAAGUCAAUGUCUGGGUUUGCUCAAGUCAGUCUAAAUUUAUUAACAGGACGAAAAUAAGAAUAACGAAGAUUCACCAUGGCUUGUAAAAUUACUGGAUUGACAGCAGCUGAGAAAGCCGCCAUUACUGCCUCCUGGAAGAUUUUGUCUGUCAAUAAAAAGGACAAUGGAAUGACAUUAUUUCUAACAUUAUUUUCCACUUAUCCCGACACACUGAACUAUUUUAAAGCCUUUGAAAACAAGAGCCUUGAUGAGAUCAAAGGUAUGUCAGAUAUGAGAGCGCAUGCUACCGCUGUCAUGUACGCC